Molecule: ribosomal RNA, 253 nt
Filed under: uncultured Ruminococcus sp.
Lineage: Bacteria; Bacillati; Bacillota; Clostridia; Eubacteriales; Oscillospiraceae
Description: partial 16S ribosomal RNA
Rfam family: Bacterial small subunit ribosomal RNA
Source: RNAcentral
UACGUAGGGAGCAAGCGUUGUCCGGAUUUACUGGGUGUAAAGGGUGCGUAGGCGGCCCUGCAAGUCAGAAGUGAAAUCCAUGGGCUUAACCCGUGAACUGCUUUUGAAACUGUAGGGCUUGAGUGAAGUAGAGGCAGGCGGAAUUCCCGGUGUAGCGGUGAAAUGCGUAGAUAUCAGGAGGAACACCGGUGGCGAAGGCGGCCUGCUGGACUGCAACUGACGUUGAGGCCCGAAAGCAUGGGUAGCGAACAGG